Molecule: long non-coding RNA, 1244 nt
Organism: Lontra canadensis (Northern American river otter)
Lineage: Eukaryota; Metazoa; Chordata; Mammalia; Carnivora; Mustelidae
Exons: 4
Source: RefSeq, a predicted model, not a curated record
CAGAGAUCUAAAGUUUCUUUGGAGUUUCCAUCAAGACACAGAUUGCACUGACCAUCACCAUGGCCUCCAGUUUUCAACUGGGCACCCAGAACCUAUUAUGUCUCACUGCUUGCUGCUUGUCAAGUCCACAGUGAAUGCAUACCUAAGAGGACCAAGAAAGUCAACACUUUUUUACCUUCCACCAAGGAGAAUAACAUCCCUGGGCAGUCAUGCCUCAGGGGUACACUGAAGCCGUCUACUAUUUUUCUCAGGGAACAAGGAAGUUGUAAAAAGAUCAUUUGCUUAUUCUCAGCAUUAAUAGGAAAAGAACAUGAUGCUUCAAAAGAUAAAUUACAAAUGUCUCACAACACAGUCCUUUAUUUAGGAAAUGACCUAUCUAAUGAAGGGAAAUAUUUUCCUGAUAGAUUAAAGACUGUACAAAUAUUCUAGACCUCUUUCAAGGUGGCAACUUGGAGGACUUCUAGGCUUAACUGGAAAAUGAAGGCAAUAAGUACCAAACUUCCCUGUGAUUCCAACACUUCUUUAUGAAUUGUCUAAGUCUUCAGUAAGAGACUCUGAUCUGGGAGCACAAAUACAACAGGUCUUCUGUAAUCUAAAUAAGGCCUUAUAAUAGCCUCCUUCCUUAGGUACUCUUAACUAUAAAAGCCAUUCCAUCGAAUUGUGCACCAACAAUUUGAACAAGCCCUUCAGGUUUCAACUCAAUUUCUUGGGUGUCAUCAAAAACCAGUUGCUUACUAUUGACUCGCCCUUGACCCAGUUGUAAAGGCUUUUCCCCCUUGACUUAAGGUAAUCAGUGUCAUGGGAAAACUUAUUGAUGCUUCUGCUGCAAUAGUUCUAGGCUCUUUACUUAACCUCAUGGUCCCUCAUGCAACACAGACAUUAGUAUUGACUGAGAACAGGCAGCACUUUUCAGCCAACUGGUUAACCUCUUAAAAGAUUCUGUUACUCUCUCCUCUCACAUUACUUUUCAUCCCUGAAACAACCGGAAACAUGUCACUCUCCUGCUCCUAAAAGAAUGGCAACAACAUGAUUGUCUUACUUCAGUUAGGAAUCUUUCUGUACCUUGCAGAUGUACAAUGUAUUAGAGAUCCCAUUGAGAAAUCUGACCAAAUAUUAUUUGUGGAGGGACAAUUCCUCGACUGGAAUGAGGUUAUUAAGCAGGACAUGCUAUUAGGGAUUUAAGAAGAUUGUUCUUUAGAAUAUAGUCAUUUACCUGAAGAAAAACCAGCCCAAACGGCAAAACA